This is an unclassified non-coding RNA of Chelydra serpentina (North American snapping turtle), 299 nucleotides long. It matches the Rfam family "Metazoan signal recognition particle RNA". From Rfam's summary of the family: The signal recognition particle (SRP) is a universally conserved ribonucleoprotein. It is involved in the co-translational targeting of proteins to membranes. Lineage: Eukaryota; Metazoa; Chordata; Testudines; Chelydridae. The record is from Ensembl.
GCCGGGCCCGUGGCUGGUGCCUGUGAUCCCAGCAGCGGGGGAGGCUGAGGCCGGCGGAUCGCUUGAGCUCAGGAGUUCUGGGCUGCAGCGGGCUGUGCCGAGCGGGUGUCCGCAUUGAGUUCGGCAUCGAUAUGGGGAUCCCGGGGAAGCUCGGGGUCCCCAGGUUGCCUAAGGAGGGGUGAACCGGCCCAGGCCGGAAACGGAGCAGGUCAAAGCUCCCGUGCCGAUCAGUAGUGGGAUCGCGCCUGUGAAUGGCCCCUGCAGCGUAGCCUGGGCGAGAGAGUGAGACCCGGUCUCUU